AACUCUAUCUAUCUGCCACGUGGAUUAAGUCACAAAUUUUAUACUUUCAUUUUUUAAAACAAUUUUUACUUUUCUCAUUAAAAAAAGAAAAUACACGACAGAAAAAUAAUAAUCUUCUUUUACAACUGCUUCGCCUCCUCCACGAUCUUGAUAUCUCCACUUCGCUUCUCUUCUCUUCUUCAACAAUGAAACAACAUGAAUUCACACAAAAAGCUUCCAAAUCUCUUCUUUUUCUGAUUCCGGUUUCCUCCAACUUUUAUCGGGUGUAAAAUUGAAGUUCUUGCAUCUUCUGAUUUUAGGGUUUCAUAAAUCGCAUGUCUCUUCUUUUUGCAAUUUACAAAUUCUGAUUUCUAAUUUCCCAAUUCUGGUUUUUUUAUUCAUCAUUGUUUAAUCAUUCAUUCACAUGUCACAACAAAUUCUCAGUUUUUAUUUUAACAACUGGAAUAAGUUUGAUAAAGAACUUGAAUUAUAUCAAACGAAUGGAUUCAUAACUUCAAAUUUUAUUUAGUCUGUUAUCAAAUUGUUCUUUAUGAGGUUCAUCAUAAUUCUCCACAAUGAUUUAGUUUGUUAUUGAAGUGUUCUCUAUUAAAAAAUCUUUCAACUUACAAGGUUAGCGAUUACAACACCGGACGACAAUGGUGCUUGUCGCUUCCUCUGUCUUCCAAUCUUCAUUUCAUCUACAAGUUUUUCCUGUUUUUCAGUUUGAUAUUGAAGUUACAAAGGAUUUUGGAUGGUUCCUAUCAUUUACGUAGUUGUAUUGGAAUGUGGAUUGGUCUUUUCUUGUGACAUUUAAGCUUUGGAUUAGAGUGUGAAUGAUUCAUCUCUCUUAGUUUUCUUUGAGGUUGAACCUUGCUUCCAAGGUUGAUUUUGAGAUUGAAUGAUAUAUCGUGUUUGCAGGGUAUUGAUCUGAUAGCUUGAGGCAAGAACAAGAAGACCAAGAGGACAGCUCCAAAGUCAGAUGAUGUCUACCCUAAGCUUAAUGUCAAGUUUUACCGUUUUCUGGUAAGGAGAACUCAGAGCAAGUUCAAUGUUGUGAUAUUGAAGAGGCAUUUUAUGAGAAAAUCAACAAAGCUCCUCUUUCUCUAUAUAGGCUUGUGGAAUUCAUGGCUGGCAUGGCUCCAUUUCGUUGAUCCUUCUCUCUCUCUUUUGUAUCUUUAUGUUGAAAUCAGUCUUAGAUCUUGAUUAAUCUGUUUUAUUUCUUUAGAACCAGUUCCCAAUUUGUGAAACUAAAGUGUUCACUGAUAAUCUGAACUUAGUCUGCAACAUAGAUGUGUUCAAUGUUCGGUUUGAAUUUUGUUAUCUAGAACAUAUUUAAA
This is a long non-coding RNA of Arabidopsis lyrata subsp. lyrata, 1316 nucleotides long. RefSeq lists it as uncharacterized. Lineage: Eukaryota; Viridiplantae; Streptophyta; Magnoliopsida; Brassicales; Brassicaceae. The record is from RefSeq and is a predicted model, not a curated record. The transcript is spliced from 2 exons.